Molecule: ribosomal RNA, 879 nt
Filed under: uncultured bacterium
Lineage: Bacteria
Description: bacterial SSU rRNA
Rfam family: Bacterial small subunit ribosomal RNA
Source: RNAcentral
GNAUUUAUUGGGCGUAAAGCGAGCGCAGGCGGUUAGAUAAGUNUGAAGUUAAAGGCUGUGGCUUAACCAUAGUAUGCUUUGGAAACUGUUUAACNUGAGUGCAGAAGGGGAGAGUGGAAUNCCAUGUGUAGCGGUGAAAUGCGUAGAUAUAUGGAGGAACACCGGUGGCGAAAGCGGCUCUNUGGUCUGUAACUGACGCUGAGGCUNGAAAGCGUGGGGAGCAAGCAGGAUUAGAUACCCUGGUAGUNCACGCCGUAAACGAUGAGUGCUAGGUGUUAGGCCCUUUCCGGGGCUUAGUGCCGCAGCUAACGCAUUAAGCACUCCGCCUGGGGAGUACGACCGCAAGGUUGAAACUCAAAGGAAUUGACGGGGGCCCGCACAAGCGGUGGAGCAUGUGGUUCAAUUCGAAGCAACGCGAAGAACCUUACCAGGCCUUGACACCCCUCUGACCGCUCUAGAGAUAGAGUUUUCCUUCGGGACAGAGGUGACUGGUGGUGCAUGGUUGUCGUCAGCUCGUGUCGUGAGAUGUUGGGUUAAGUCCCGCAACGAGCGCAACCCCUAUUGUUAGUUGCCAUCAUUGAGUUGGGCACUCUAGCGAGACUGCCGGUAAUAAACCGGAGGAAGGUGGGGAUGACGUCAAAUCAUCAUGCCCCUUAUGACCUGGGCUACACUCGUGCUACAAUGGCUGGUACAACGAGUCGCAAGCCGGUGACGGCAAGCUAAUCUCUGAAAGCCAGUCUCAGUUCGGAUUGUAGGCUGCAACUCGCCUACAUGAGGUCGGAAUCGCUAGUAAUCGCGGAUCAGCACGCCGCGGUGAAUACGUUCCCGGGCCUUGUACACACCGCCCGUCACACCACGAGAGUUUGUAACACCCGAAGU